UGGUGGAGCGAUUUGUCUGGUUAAUUCCGAUAACGAACGAGACUCUAGCCUGCUAAAUAGAUUACCGACUCGUAUGCGUCGGUAAGGCUUCUUAGAGGGACAGCUGGCGUUUCAGCCAGACGAGACAGAGCAAUAACA
Molecule: ribosomal RNA, 138 nt
Filed under: uncultured eukaryote
Lineage: Eukaryota
Description: partial 18S ribosomal RNA
Rfam family: Eukaryotic small subunit ribosomal RNA
Source: RNAcentral